Long non-coding RNA from Pipra filicauda (Wire-tailed manakin), 1399 nucleotides. RefSeq lists it as uncharacterized. The transcript is spliced from 2 exons. Lineage: Eukaryota; Metazoa; Chordata; Aves; Passeriformes; Pipridae. The record is from RefSeq and is a predicted model, not a curated record.
CGGCCCCGGCCCCGGCGGGAGGAGCCGAGGGGGCUCUGGGGGAGAGAGGCCUCGGAGGGUCCAUCUCCCCUGCACCCCACGAAGGUCCCGCCGAGUCCCAGGCAUCUGACUGCCAGUUGGAUCUCUCAUCCUGGAGGUCCCGUCUGGGAGACCAGUCCUGCACCGCAGGGGGUACUUGCAACGUGUCGCUACAAAAGUAACACUACAAAAAUAAUGUUACCCUGACACUGGCCGUGGUCACAACACGUUGGGGCACACACCUUCCUCCUUCCUCACUGAAGGCCUACACAACUGGUUUUAUAAAGCUGUGCACUUGUCGUCCCGCAGGAAGCUCUGCUCCCUUUUUUUCCACACAGCACCAUCACCUGUGAACAUCUGGACACGGGCAGCACCAUCAGCUGACGGGACAGAUGACACGCUGAGUGCCAGGCAGCUGAUCCUCCGUGAUGGGUGCUGCGCAUUGCGGGGUUCCUCCACAGACCCUGGCUACUGUCUCUCUUUCUCCUCACGCAUCAGCCAUAGGUGGAGGCUGAAAUGUCACCUGCUGAUGUGUGAGUCCAGCAACAAGUGAAGUGCAGGAAGGUACAAAAAUGUCAGGGCUGUUGACCAACAGAGGCUGGUUUGCAAGGGGCGUGUGCUGCUCUGUACCUCUCUGGGGCCCACGCUGCAGUAGUCAGUGAAGAAUCCUGCUUCAGUGUGAGGCAAUGGAAACUGUCUUAACAGCAGCAUCCCUGUACCUGGCAAAAAGACAUUUUCACAAAACAUUUCGGGUUAGGAGGAAAGUAGCCAGCACAGGGACAAAACAUGAAGAAGUGGCAUCUUCACAUGCACUGCUCACUUGCAGAAAAAAAAAACAAAAACAGAAAACUUUUUUGCUAGUGUCUGAGUUCCAGCAACUAAAAUGGCUGUUGGGUGAGCCAGAGCUCCACUGUAGUCAGCUGCAAGCUGCAUCUCUGAGCUGAUGCAGGCAUUGCAUCUGCAAAGCUGCUACCCAUCCCCUCUGCCUCUUUUUCCUCCUCAGGAAAAAGUCCACCUCUUUUUCCUCCCAGAAAGCCCACUAGAGAGACCGGCCUUCAUUCUGCCUUUCCUCCCUGCUCACGGCUGUUCUGCUGCAGGGGAAUGGUGUCAAAUUCCAGAGAGAGAGAGGGAGGCAAAGCUACUUGCAAUGCAAUCAAGCAACUGCUGUGGGAAGAAGCCGAGCAGCAAAGGAUGAUUUACUAACACAAGCUAAGCCAAUAUAAACACUUAUGAUACAGGUGCCUGUGCUCUCAGAGAUUGCCUGACUUAAUUCAAUUGUUUUGUAAACCAAUUUAGUUAAAUCUGUAUAAAACUGGUGUUUAAACAAGCCAAAACAGUGUUUAAAAUGUCAUUAAUAAAACGUAUCACCAUAAAACAAAUA